This 250-nucleotide ribosomal RNA is filed under the name uncultured bacterium. RNAcentral describes it as "partial 16S ribosomal RNA". It matches the Rfam family "Bacterial small subunit ribosomal RNA", at positions 524 to 774 of the family's 1533-position model. The record is from RNAcentral.
UACGUAGGGGGCAAGCGUUGUCCGGAAUUAUUGGGCGUAAAGCGCGCGCAGGCGGCGGUGUAAGUCCGGUGUUUAAGCCCGGGGCUCAACCCCGGUACGCACCGGAAACUGCACGGCUUGAGUGCAGAAGAGGAGAGUGGAAUUCCACGUGUAGCGGUGAAAUGCGUAGAGAUGUGGAGGAACACCAGUGGCGAAGGCGACUCUCUGGGCUGCAACUGACGCUGAGGCGCGAAAGCGUGGGGAGCAAACA